AUUGAACGCUGGCGGCAUGCCUUACACAUGCAAGUCGAACGGUAACGGGCCUUCGGGUGCCGACGAGUGGCGAACGGGUGAGUAAUGCAUCGGAACGUACCUUUCAGUGGGGGAUAACGUAGCGAAAGUUACGCUAAUACCGCAUAUUCUGUGAGCAGGAAAGCAGGGGAUCGCAAGACCUUGCGCUGAUUGAGCGGCCGAUGUCAGAUUAGCAAGUUGGUGAGGUAAAGGCUCACCAAGGCGACGAUCUGUAGCGGGUCUGAGAGGAUGAUCCGCCACACUGGAACUGAGACACGGUCCAGACUCCUACGGGAGGCAGCAGUGGGGAAUUUUGGACAAUGGGGGCAACCCUGAUCCAGCCAUGCCGCGUGAGUGAAGAAGGCCUCGGUUGUAAA
This 395-nucleotide ribosomal RNA is filed under the name uncultured bacterium. RNAcentral describes it as "bacterial SSU rRNA". It matches the Rfam family "Bacterial small subunit ribosomal RNA", at positions 30 to 429 of the family's 1533-position model. The record is from RNAcentral.